CCUACGGGUGGCAGCAGUGGGGAAUAUUGGACAAUGGGGGGAACCCUGAUCCAGCCAUGCCGCGUGUGUGAAGAAGGCCCUCGGGUUGUAAAGCACUUUCAGUGAGGAAGAACGCCUGGUGGUUAAUACCCAUCAGGAAAGACAUCACUCACAGAAGAAGCACCGGCUAACUCCGUGCCAGCAGCCGCGGUAAUACGGAGGGUGCGAGCGUUAAUCGGAAUUACCGGGCGUAAAGCGCGCGUAGGUGGCUUGAUAAGCCGGUUGUGAAAGCCCCGGGCUCAACCUGGGAACGGCAUCCGGAACUGUCAAGCUAGAGUGCAGGAGAGGAAGGUAGAAUUCCCGGUGUAGCGGUGAAAUGCGUAGAGAUCGGGAGGAAUACCAGUGGCGAAGGCGGCCUUCUGGACUGACACUGACACUGAGGUGCGAAAGCGUGGGUAGCAAACAGGAUUAGAUACCCGAGUAGUC
RNAcentral lists this ribosomal RNA (465 nucleotides) under Vreelandella stevensii. Its description in RNAcentral is "partial 16S ribosomal RNA". It matches the Rfam family "Bacterial small subunit ribosomal RNA", at positions 338 to 795 of the family's 1533-position model. The record is from RNAcentral. Lineage: Bacteria; Pseudomonadati; Pseudomonadota; Gammaproteobacteria; Oceanospirillales; Halomonadaceae.